This 494-nucleotide ribosomal RNA is filed under the name uncultured bacterium. RNAcentral describes it as "partial 16S ribosomal RNA". It matches the Rfam family "Bacterial small subunit ribosomal RNA", at positions 28 to 507 of the family's 1533-position model. The record is from RNAcentral.
GACGAACGCUGGCGGCGUGCUUAACACAUGCAAGUCGAACGGUGAAGCGCCUUCCUUUUUGGUGGGUGUGGAUGAGUGGCGAACGGGUGAGUAACACGUGAGUAACCUGCCCCCUUCUUCUGGAUAACCGCAUGAAAGUGUGGCUAAUACGGGAUAUUCUGGGUCUGUCGCAUGAUGGGUCUGGGAAAGAUAUUGUUUCGGUGGGGGAUGGGCUCGCGGCCUAUCAGCUUGUUGGUGGGGUGAUGGCCUACCAAGGCGGUGACGGGUAGCCGGCCUGAGAGGGUGGACGGUCACACUGGGACUGAGACACGGCCCAGACUCCUACGGGAGGCAGCAGUGGGGAAUAUUGCACAAUGGGCGCAAGCCUGAUGCGGCGACGCCGCGUGAGGGAUGGAGGCCUUCGGGUUGUGAACCUCUUUCGCCAGUGAAGCAGGCCUGCCUCGUUUGUGGGUGGGUUGACGGUAGCUGGAUAAGAAGCGCCGGCUAACUACGUG